UCUUCUUCUCCUCUCUUUUGUUCUUCAAGAAAUCAGCUCCUCUCAUCAUCUUCAAGCUCAUGACUCAAUAGCAAGUGAUAUUGUGUUGCUCUUCAUCCACAUGGGUUUACCACUAUUUGGUCUUCUAUCUUGCCUCUUGAAAGGGGCUAAGACCUUAAGGUAAUGAUGAAAAGGCUGGGGAGCAAGGCACUACUGCAAAGGGAGAGGCAUACGCUUAGGAUCUUUUCUAACCAGAACUGUGAUGUUUAUGGAGGAUGCGUUAUGUUUUUAUGAACGUAUGGACUCUGAGAGUCUUUUACGGAUGAAUGUUCAAAUAGGAUGUUUAUUAGGUGUUCCCUUUAUUAAAUUAGGAAUUUGAGUACACGUGUGUCAUGUCCAUGUCGACCGCACGUUAUGGGAAAAAGAAAAAGAAAAGAAAGAAAAGAAAAAGAAAAAAAGACAAGUAUGUACGUCGCGAUCCCUCUCUCCGGGGCGGGGUUGUCACAAGUUUGGUA
Long non-coding RNA from Juglans regia (Persian walnut), 494 nucleotides. RefSeq lists it as uncharacterized. The record is from RefSeq and is a predicted model, not a curated record. Lineage: Eukaryota; Viridiplantae; Streptophyta; Magnoliopsida; Fagales; Juglandaceae. The transcript is spliced from 3 exons.